GGGCGCAUAGCUCAGUUGGGAUGAGCGCUUGCUUCACACGCAAGAGGUCACAGGUUCGAGCCCUGUUGCGCCCACCA
This 77-nucleotide transfer RNA is filed under the name Bacillota bacterium. RNAcentral describes it as "Firmicutes bacterium (anaerobic digester metagenome) tRNA-Val". It matches the Rfam family "tRNA". From Rfam's summary of the family: Transfer RNA (tRNA) molecules are approximately 80 nucleotides in length. The record is from RNAcentral. Lineage: Bacteria; Bacillati; Bacillota.